AAUGUCUCUUUUUUUUUAAGGUAAAGAUUUCUUUUAAUACAAUUUAAAAGGCAACUGCUAAGUUACAUUAUUUAUAAAUUACAAUUGACCCAAAGUAGUUUUAUAAUUAUUUGACAAGUAACAAUUGAAUCAUAGAAACAAAUUAGUUUUGAAUUGAUGUAAGCUUGGAAAAGGAAAGUGGAAUUUUUUAUGAUGAGCAAAAUUUAAUUUUUUUUCUCUUGUUCUGAAAAGAAUGGAAUCAUUUCUUUGCUUUCAUUCUUUUUUGGCCUUUUCCUUGUUUAUUGUAAUUAAUGUUUUUUCUUUUCUUUUUGUUUUUCUACACGUCAGGUUAAAUGCUCUUAGAAUUCCGCAAAAAUCAGAUGUUAAAAUAUAUGAUAAUUAUAGAACAAUAUAUUAUCCAUCUAUAGAUAUAUUAAUAAAUAUAGUUAAUUUUUUUUUUUGUAAUUAAGCAAAAACUUUAUAAAAUCUACAAAAUUUUUGUUAACACACGGCAUGUAACGGUUGAGAGGCAUAAUUGUGCAUGUGUAAUGCAUACUCUAAAUACACGUACUCCUUGCGGUUGAGAGGGAUGCUUGUGACUUGUGAGACACUUAACACGUACGAGCCCCACAGUAUUGAUUUUCAUUUAUUUCAUUAACUUUUAAUAUUUUUAUUCUUUAAUUAAUUUCAUGCAACAUCAAUUUAUAUGAGAUAGUUCAAAAAACAGUUUAGGCACUUAUUUUCAUCCUUGCUUGAAAUACUUCUGGUGUAUUUAUAUAAUAUAAAUUGACGAAAAGACAGUCCAAUAUGUGAAAGAGUUAUUCUAAGUCUGAAAACAAAUUUGAUGACCAAUUGUGUAUUUAAUCAGAUUUUAAAAUUGUUUAAUAUCAAAGCAACUAUUUACACAUGACUAAAUUAAUGCACGCAUAAUCUUUUUAUUAUUAAAAUAUAUUAACUCCAUUUCAGGAUCAAUUUAUUGCAAGAGUUUGCAUUUGGUAAGAUUCAAAAUUUUCAGCUAGUUAGUAGUAACUAAUAACUACGAUGACCAAAAAUAAAGUAAAAUAACGAAAACGCUACAAAUGAACACACAAAAGACUACAAUAAUCCCACCCAUGAAUUAUAUAUAUAUAUAUAUUUUUUUUAUAGAAACUAACAUUUUAACAAUUGUUGCAUUCUGAGAAGUUUUCUACACAAAUAGUUCGUAUGACUUGUAUUAGUUUAUGUUUUCUUCUUCCCAUUCCAGAUAAGUAACAUAUGUACCAAAAUUAAAGUUAUAUAAUAAAGUUCACGCCACAUGGCUACUUGUAGUAAAAGCUAUCAAGAGAAAGGGAGGGCAGCUGAAUUGUCUUCAAGCAGCUAAAGUUUUUCCAUUUCCUGUCUUAAGGGGAUUGGAUAACUCCGAGGCAUUGAGUCCUUACGAAAGGAAUCAUGUGAUCAUUAGGUUCCGAAAUGAAAUGUUGUACUCAUGGGGUCACAAUUGAUCCAAUAGGUUUAUAUAAAUGAUAAUACUACUCCUAAUACUUCUUUUUAAUAUCUUGCACUAUUUCUUGUCUUCAAAAUCAUUACAACCAACGAAGGCUCCCGAUCUUCAUCUCUCUCUUCAGCUUAAAUAUAUUUAUCAUAGGAAUGUAGGAUCACGAGAUGCUUAAAGUAAAAGAUAGAUAGCUCCAUCACACUAUAAUCAAGGGAGAUUGACAUUUUUUUCUUUAUUGAAAUUAAUAAAUACCACUCAUUUUUUAUUAUUUUCAUAAUACUUAAUAAUAUCCCUAA
This 1749-nucleotide long non-coding RNA is filed under the name Citrus x clementina. RNAcentral describes it as "Citrus clementina (C. clementina) long non-coding RNA (CCLE_LNC006852)". The record is from RNAcentral. Lineage: Eukaryota; Viridiplantae; Streptophyta; Magnoliopsida; Sapindales; Rutaceae.